RNAcentral lists this unclassified non-coding RNA (339 nucleotides) under soil metagenome. RNAcentral's name for it is "partial contains 5.8S ribosomal RNA, internal transcribed spacer 2, and large subunit ribosomal RNA". The stretch from base 1 to 121 matches the Rfam family "5.8S ribosomal RNA", at positions 35 to 154 of the family's 154-position model. The record is from RNAcentral.
GAUGAAGAACGCAGUGAAUUGCGAUAAGUAAUGCGAAUUGCAGAAUUUCCGUGAGUCAUCGAAUCUUUGAACGCACAUUGCGCCCGGUAGUAUUCUGCCGGGCAUGCCUGUUCGAGCGUCAUUUCAACCAUCAAGCCCCAGCGCUUGUGUUGGGGGCCUGCGGCUGCCGCAGCCCCCUAAAAGCAGUGGCGGGCUCGCUAUCACACCGAGUGCAGUAGUUCAUCUUCUCUCCGGUCUUGUGAGGCGGGUUCCGGCCGUGAAACACCCCACUACAUUCAAGGUUGACCUCGGAUCAGGUAGGAAUACCCGCUGAACUUAAGCAUAUCAAUAAGCGGAGGA